This 75-nucleotide transfer RNA is filed under the name Pseudoduganella armeniaca. RNAcentral describes it as "Massilia armeniaca tRNA-Val". Lineage: Bacteria; Pseudomonadati; Pseudomonadota; Betaproteobacteria; Burkholderiales; Oxalobacteraceae. The record is from RNAcentral.
CGGCAGAUUCCUAAGGAUUAAAGCCCUGCAUUCACACUGCAGGGGUCGCAUGUUCGAAACUUGCACUUCCCACCA